GAAGCUGCUUCAGGACAACAGAUGCUCUCCCAUUCAACUGAGAGAUAUGAUGGAAAGAAAAGAGGCAGGCCUGCUACAAGGAGCAUGCAGAAAGCGAAAUCAGAUGUUGAACAGGUUCGAAGAGCUCGAACUCGAAAGGCCAAGGGGCCUGCAAAAAUAAGUGAAGUUGAGUCAGACAUCAGUGACCAUACUGAUGAAAAAACAAAAGCUGAAACUGGAAAUAUUGGAACAUUAUGCACUGAAAACUCAGAAAAGCACGAGUUUAAAACAUUAGAAAACGAGAUAUCUAACUCAAAGAAACGAGGAAGACCUCCUGCAGGGAAUGCACAGAGAGAGAAAGCAGAGGCUGGAAAAAUUCGAAGAACUCGGGCACAUAUUGCCAAGGGAUCUGCAAAUAUAGGUGGUAUUAACAACAGUGACUCUUCCGAUGAAGCAAACGCAGAAGAAUCUAAAAGGGGGAAAGAUGAAAACGAGAAAACGAAUGAGUUUAAAAUGCUAGAAGACUGCAAUGCAAAACAAAAAGGCAAAGCCAUUGAAGAAGUUCGUGCAGACUCCAAAUCUGUGGAAAAACCUGAGAAGCUUGAAGUGAUGAAGGAUCCACUUGAAGCAAUGUUAUUAGAUAUGGUUCCAAGUCUUGGAAUGAGUGGAACUAAAA
Molecule: long non-coding RNA, 655 nt
Filed under: Cucumis sativus (cucumber)
Lineage: Eukaryota; Viridiplantae; Streptophyta; Magnoliopsida; Cucurbitales; Cucurbitaceae
Description: long non-coding RNA (CSAT_LNC000544)
Source: RNAcentral